UGGAGCAUUUUCUGUCGCACCCCAUCGCACUACCCUGUUGUCUUCGCGACUGCUGCUGCGCACUCUCCGUUCGUUCCUCUUUUUCUCGUGUUGUCUCCUCCGCUGCUGUUGCCGGCACCCGCGGCUGCUCUGUGCGCCCACCCAUACCCCACCUCUCUCGGCUAAGGUGUACCGACCUUCACACACACACACAUACACACACCGACAGCGACACCCUCCCUUCCCCCUCUUUGUGCAGGUGUGCUCCUUGUUCGCCUUUCUUUUUGAGACCGCAGUGCUUGGAGAGCCAAGCACGUCUACCAAGGGGCACAGGCACGUGCUCACAGAAUCCUCUCUCGGACGCACGCCUCAUCGACGGCUUGUCGGCACACACCUGGCCUGCCGCCGCUACCCUUGCCCUUUACGCUGCCAUUUCAUCCCCUAGACUCUCCCCUCCUCUCCUCUCUUUUCCCCCGUUAGCCGUCGCUGCCGCUGUGGCUGCUAUCUUCGUUGGCUCAUCUCUGUAUUUCACGUACGCCGUGCUAGACACUUGCAGUUCGCCGCGGUGCUUGCCUCUAUCGGCGUGAGGAGCAGGCACGCGAACCUCAGACCCUGCGCCAUCCGUGCUGCUGCCGCUGCCUCCACUUCCCUCCUCUUACUCCUUCCGCCGCCACCACGUCGACGGCGCAGAGACCGAGACUCCACCGCAGAUCUUUGUACACGUGCGCGUCUCGUGGCGUUGAGACUGCGGCCGCUCGCAAGCCGCCCUGGCACUCACGGAAUCUGCCUUGCUGCGGACCACGUGAGUGUACGCACGCGCACCCGGGCGAGGGGGCUGGAGAUGCCGAAGCGAGGCAGAGCAAACUCAACCGACGCGUCAUACGCCGCUGAGCACGGCGUUGUGGAGGUAAGCGACGCGGACAGCCCAGCCACGCAGCCGAUCGGCGUGGAGGAGAUGAUGGAGUCUCAGCGGGAUCCUCUGCUAGAGCAGCAGCUGGACGCACUGGAGGUGGACGAAGACUUCCGUGAAUCCAUCCGAGCCAUGACGCCGAAUACGCGCAGAGAUGUCCUGAAUGACAUCAUCCGCCAUCAGCAACACACGGAGAUCGAAGAGAGCUUGAUGCGAGGUUUCCAUGGAGGCGACUUUGGCAGCGCGGGGCCGCUCUUCACGUUUGGCGCGGGCAUACCGCCUGGCAUGCAUCAGUCGCGCAUGAUGGGAGGCUCUCAGGGGGACACUGACGCUGAAGACUACGCUGAUAUGAUGGGCGAUGCUGAGGAGGACGAGGAGGAGGGCGAACUGCGCGGCUCCGAUAGACAUGCAGCGGCCGAGGAGGACGAGGAGGCUGAGACGGGGUCGACAGUUGAGAGGCCGCCAUUUUUACUGCGUGGCAUGGCAAUGGGCUCCAUCGACAAUACCGGGAUGCCGCAUGUACAGCACCGUGGAGGCCAGUCCCCGCAGCAGGCGGGAGCGCCGCCGACCGUUCUCGAUAUUCUCCGACUUAUUGCCGGGCACAGCACACCGCAGGCUCGCAGUCGCGGCGGCGAUGGCCUUCAUCACCAGGGCCGCGGCUCGGGCCAGCGCACCGCCUUCGAGGAGGGCAUGAUGAACCUCCACAACCUCAUCGGUGUGCUGCAGCAAGCAAAUGUGAUGCAGUCCAUGGGCCUGGACCACGACAUCGACGAUAUGACGUACGAGGAGCUACUGGAGCUAGAGGAGCGCAUCGGAAACGUCAGCAAAGGCGUACCACCGGCGUUGCUCGACAGCUGCAUGGUACCGCUGCGAAGCACAUCGGCCGACGCUGGCACGUGCGCCAUCUGCCAAGAGGAGCUCAGCGGCACCUCCGCCACGGCCACGGCCGCGACCAGCGCCGCAUCCACCGCUACCUCGCCCAGCGGUACGGACAAGGCGUGUGUCAAGCUGCUCAACUGCCCUCAUGCAUUCCACAAGCCAUGCAUCAACCAGUGGCUGACCCAGAACAAAACAUGCCCCAUCUGCAAAAUGGAGGUGCUACCGAAGCCAGCGCCGUCGUCGUCCUAGGCUCCCUCGCCGUGCGCAGGGUGUUUGCUGGUGGCAGGGGGCUGAGGUGGGGCGGUGACCUGCACAGAGAUGAGGGGACGAGUGGAGCGGCGGGCGGGGCGCGUUGAACUCCCUCUUUGGAUUUUAUAACUCUCUCCUCAUCUUCCUGCGCCCGCUGCCACGUCUGAGCAUGUAAGUCAGAGCGGAAAGGAGAAAGAGCGGCAGCGCAUGCACUUGCGUGUGCAGGCUCAAGAUGUGUGCUACGCCAUGCCGACACCGUGGUGUGUCCGUCUGUGGGGCUGAAAAGAUGGGUGGUGCGCCUGUAUGCGUGCUUGUGCGUGUUUGCGUUGCAUGUCACUGCUGUGCUGCCUUUGUUGACCGUUAUUAGAGAAGUUUGCCAGAACUGUUCUCCUCUCACCGCCAGCGUGUCGCCCUCUGUCAACACCGGGCAUCGUCCUUAGUGAGGCAUUGCUCUCUCCUCUCUGUGUGCUACUCGAGGUGCAGAUGAUCUCCUGGUGCCUCUGCGGUGCGGUGACAGCGCGACAGUGGAGCGACUGACCGGUGACGUCUCUCACGUGAUGAGGGUCUGCCUCUCUGUGUAUGUGGCGCUCAAGAGCAGCCUCGCACAAGUGCACACAUGCACACGGAGAGAGAUGCCCUCGCACGCUCCCCCUCCUCUCUCUCUGCCACUCGUCCCACCCAUCUCUCUCUUGUGUGUGUGUGUGUGUCCGUCGUGCUUAAAG
RNAcentral lists this unclassified non-coding RNA (2739 nucleotides) under Leishmania donovani. RNAcentral's name for it is "gene:LdHU3.23.2350(CDS-product:RING-H2_zinc_finge r/Ring_finger_domain/Zinc_finger_C3HC4_type_(RING_finger)_c ontaining_protein_putative)". Lineage: Eukaryota; Euglenozoa; Kinetoplastea; Trypanosomatida; Trypanosomatidae. The record is from RNAcentral.